GAUGAACGCUGGCGGCGUGCUUAAUACAUGCAAGUCGAACGGAAAGGCGCUGCUCUUGUUCGUUGCUCGAUAGGCGAGCGGGGGAGUGACACGUGAGUAACCCCCCCUUGUCUGUGUGAUAACUCCAGGAGACUGGGGCUAUUACCGCGGAGGAUCUCCUGCAGCACGGGGGGGGUUGGUGAGAUUCGGCGGUUGGGGAUGUACUGGCGGCUUAUGAGCUGGUUUGUGGGGUAGUGGCGUCCCAAGCCUUCGACGGGUAGCCGGCCUGGGAGGGUGACCGGCCACAUUGGGACUGCGAUACGGACCAGAAUCGUACGGGAGGCAGUGGUGGGGAGUAUGGCACAAUGGGGGGACGCCUGAUGCAGCAGCGCCGCGUGCGGGAUGCCGUCCUUCGGGUUGUAAACCGCUUUCGCAUGUGCCGAAGCGUGAGUGACGGUAAUGGGUAAAGAAGCACCGGCUAACUACGUG
This 468-nucleotide ribosomal RNA is filed under the name uncultured bacterium. Its description in RNAcentral is "partial 16S ribosomal RNA". It matches the Rfam family "Bacterial small subunit ribosomal RNA", at positions 28 to 507 of the family's 1533-position model. The record is from RNAcentral.